AUACCAUACUUGUAGUAUUCAUUAACUAUUCAUAUCAUAUCUGUAAUUUGAUUGUGCAAGGAUAAGAAUUAAUAGAAUCGGUUACCUAUUUCCAAGAAUUUCUUCUACCUCCUUUAUUAACACUUUAUGCAAAUUUCAAACGUGAGAUAAUAAACAACAUUGAAGUAAAUAGCUAUACCAUAGCUACAUAAGAGUCGAUAUUUCGUUCUACGCUCGAUUUCCUUUAUCGCAGAUGGCGUAACCAUUUCCUGUAACAUUCUCGAGCUAUUCGAGAUGCAAGAUGCAACUAUGCGAUCGGUCCGAGCAUCUGUUGUCAGGUGGUAAACGCGAAGGAAUCGCAAUCCUCUGGGGAUAGGCCAGUUUAAUUGGAAUUGAUGCUGCAAGCCCAGCGCUACAAUCGACACAGCUCUAACGCGCGUAACUAAUUAACACGCCGGAGAUAAUCCAAGUGAAUCGCGUCUAAGCAAUAGCUCCCCCGUGAUGUAGUCGAUCGUACCACAAUAGAGGUUAUGAGAGCAUCAGAAAUCGAACGUACUAAUUUAUCUCUCGAGCCGACCUAUUCGAUCAGGAUUAUGCGUUAUGCAUUCGUGAAGAUGUUUUGAUAUCGUACGAGGGGAAAGAGCGAGCGGACACAGACGAAUCGACCAGCAACGAGGAGAAACGUUUGCGUGGAUUGGGCCUCUGGUGGAGAUAACGAGCGGCGGUACGCGGAAAGCAGGAAGUUGGCAUGAAAAAGUAGAUACAAAAUGAGCUGUAGAUGCCACGAUAAGGUGUUACGGGAAUGAUGGAAGGAAGAAAGGAAAAAUUAAACGAUGAUGAUGGCAGAGGAACAAACGAGAGCGGUGCGCCGGAAGUUAACAAGAAAAAUGGCUAGUUGUUUCUUGAAUGUUCCGGAGUAACAGAUGACGGAGGAUUAAAUCCCAAGACUAUCCGGUUUAUCUUUUUGCUAGGAUGGGGAAGACAGAGAGGGUGAGAAAGGGUUGGUGAAAUAGAUGGAUGGAAUAAGGCAUGGCAACACGCAACAGGCAAUCAGGUCAAGUUGAGAUGUUUCAAAACUUCAAGAGCCUCGAACUUCCGGUAAACUGGUGUUGAAGAAGGGAAAGACACGUAGAUAUGUACAAUAUUUACGUGAGAUGUAGUCAUGGGAUCAACUUGAAUAUGCACUUAUAAAUCCGAAUCGAAUCCGACAUGGAAGGUCCACUGCGUAGGGUUAUAGGGAUACUAUUCGUAUCUUGACUGCGAAUUUUUAUGGAAUUUCGUAUUUCGAUUGGAUAGAACUGAAGAAAUGCAACUUGUAGAGAAAUUUGUUUCAUCGACUAAAAAUUCUAAAGAGUACGAAAGACAAAUAGUUUGUAUAACUGGAAUUCACACGAUGGUAAUUUCUUGCUUCUGCUUGCUAUAAUUUUUUGUUUAUACGAUAGAAAUUGACGUUUAGAUAGAUAACAAUUUUUAUAGACAAGAGUUCGUUUGACCGCAACAUUGGCGAAAGUUUAGUUCAAAUAAAUGGAUGUUUAGAAAGAAAUAUUUUUGGAUCUCGUAAAGUAGCCGAAGCAGAGCAAAGUCUCUAUUUGUUGUUGUAAAAUAUUCCGCAUCAGAAGAAAUAUUAAAUCACGUUUAUAUCGCAAAGUAGUAUGUAGAAUAUCAUAAAAUUACUACUCUAUUAUAAAUUUUCCGCUGUGGAGAAAAUUGUUAGAUAUUACUAAGAGAUGUUUCAAAUAAGGAACGAUACUCGAACUCUAUGAUUGAACAUAACAACGGCCAGUGAUAGUUGGGACUCCUGAAAUAUAUCAAAUUGGAAAAGAAUUUCUUAUACAUCAUUGCAUAAUAAUUUAGUCUACAAAAAUAUAUAUCCUACGUUGAUAUAAAAUAAAUCACGUAAACAGGAAUACUUGCGGAAGUUUUUGUGAAAGGAUACGAAUGAUAUUUCUCUUCGUUUUUUACGUUUCAUCGUGUAAAAAGCUCGGCGAUUUUACAUACAAAGAGGGAGAAUAAGUUAUUCUUCGAAAUGGAAUAAACGGGCGAUAACGUUUGAGGAUUUGAAAUAGAAGCUCUGUUGACGGUGCUUUCAUUAAUCCAAGUGACUUUUAUUCGGUACAGUCUUCAAAAUAAUGCAUCGAUGUAUUAAGAGGAUACAGCUAAAUAUAGCGGAGGGAAUGAUUGACCCGAACAAAGAAGCACGACGGAGAAGCGAAAUGUAACAGUGCAAGGGAAAAUGGAUCGUCUAUUGUCAGACACGUUUCGAACCGCUAUGACCGGGACCUAUAUAUUCCCUCCGUAACUCUUUACACAUGCGUUAUUUCGAUAACUAUUUCGAAUAGAAGUUGUUCGGAUUAAGUGGCAAUCUAGGAAAAUUCGAGUAUCGUUGAAAAUAACAUAGAAAAUAAAUAUACCCUAUUUGUAUUGUAAAAUAUUUAAU
Long non-coding RNA from Bombus impatiens (common eastern bumble bee), 2416 nucleotides. RefSeq lists it as uncharacterized. The transcript is spliced from 4 exons. Lineage: Eukaryota; Metazoa; Arthropoda; Insecta; Hymenoptera; Apidae. The record is from RefSeq and is a predicted model, not a curated record.